CCUACGGGGGGCAGCAGUGAGGAAUAUUGGUCAAUGGACGAGAGUCUGAACCAGCCAAGUAGCGUGAAGGAUGACUGCCCUAUGGGUUGUAAACUUCUUUUAUAUGGGAAUAAAAUGUUCCACGUGUGGGAUUUUGUAUGUACCAUAUGAAUAAGGAUCGGCUAACUCCGUGCCAGCAGCCGCGGUAAUACGGAGGAUCCGAGCGUUAUCCAGAUUUAUUGGGUUUAAAGGGAGCGUAGGUGGAUUGUUAAGUCAGUUGUGAAAGUUUGCGGCUCAACCGUAAAAUUGCAGUUGAAACUGGCAGUCUUGAGUACAGUAGAGGUGGGCGGAAUUCGUGGUGUAGCGGUGAAAUGCUUAGAUAUCACGAAGAACUCCGAUUGCGAAGGCAGUUCACUGGACUGCAACUGACACUGAGGCUCGAAAGUGUGGGUAUCAAACAGGAUUAGAUACCCCUGUAGUC
Molecule: ribosomal RNA, 460 nt
Filed under: uncultured bacterium
Lineage: Bacteria
Description: partial 16S ribosomal RNA
Rfam family: Bacterial small subunit ribosomal RNA
Source: RNAcentral